AUUGAACGCUGGCGGCAUGCUUUACACAUGCAAGUCGAACGGCAGCACGGGCUUCGGCCUGGUGGCGAGUGGCGAACGGGUGAGUAAUGCAUCGGAACGUACCGUGUAAUGGGGGGAUAACGUAGCGAAAGUUACGCUAAUACCGCAUACGCCCUGAGGGGGAAAGCGGGGGAUCGUAAGACCUCGCGUUAUACGAGCGGCCGAUGUCGGAUUAGCUAGUUGGUGGGGUAAAGGCCUACCAAGGCGACGAUCCGUAGCGGGUCUGAGAGGAUGAUCCGCCACACUGGGACUGAGACACGGCCCAGACUCCUACGGAGGCAGCAGUGGGGAAUUUUGGACAAU
Molecule: ribosomal RNA, 342 nt
Filed under: uncultured bacterium
Lineage: Bacteria
Description: bacterial SSU rRNA
Rfam family: Bacterial small subunit ribosomal RNA
Source: RNAcentral